CACGUAGGGUGCGAGCGUUGUCCGGAAUUAUUGGGCGUAAAGAGCUCGUAGGCGGUGUGUCGCGUCGGCCGUGAAAACCUGCAGCUUAACUGUGGGCUUGCGGUCGAUACGGGCAUCACUGGAGUUCGGCAGGGGAGACUGGAAUUCCUGGUGGUAGCGGUGAAAUGCGCAGAUAUCAGGAGGAACACCGGUGGCGAAGGCGGGUCUCUGG
This 211-nucleotide ribosomal RNA is filed under the name uncultured bacterium. RNAcentral's name for it is "partial 16S ribosomal RNA". It matches the Rfam family "Bacterial small subunit ribosomal RNA", at positions 524 to 732 of the family's 1533-position model. The record is from RNAcentral.